GUAUGUGGCCAUACCACCCAGGAUGCACCCAAUCUUGUCUGAUCUCAGACGCUGAGCAGGACUGGGCCUGGUUAGUACUUGGAAGGGAGAAAUGUGGCUGAUUUACA
This 107-nucleotide ribosomal RNA is filed under the name Jaculus jaculus (lesser Egyptian jerboa). Lineage: Eukaryota; Metazoa; Chordata; Mammalia; Rodentia; Dipodidae. The record is from RNAcentral.